GAAAUGCGAUACUUAGUGUGAUUGCAGAAUCCCGUGAAUCAUCAAGUCUUUGAACGCAAGUUGCGCCCGAGGCCUCGGCCAAGGGCACGUCUGCUUGGGCGUCGCACUCCAAAAUUGCCCUCCCCCGCGAGGAGCGUAGAUGGCCGUCCGUGUCCGCAAGUGGGGCGGUCGGCUGAAAUGAGCACGAGGUCCGUCGAUCCGUCGCGACGAGCGGUGGUUCCCAAAGGCCGGCGUUGGUUUGCGCUGAUCGAGCGAUGCCUCGUGUGGAACUUUAUCUUUGGUGCCCCGGCCCGCCAGAGCGCGGGCAUGGUGCAUCUUCUACCGCGUCCCCAAGUCAGGCGUGAAUACCCGCUGAGUUUAA
This 361-nucleotide ribosomal RNA is filed under the name Juniperus pingii. Its description in RNAcentral is "eukaryotic LSU rRNA". The stretch from base 1 to 104 matches the Rfam family "5.8S ribosomal RNA", at positions 50 to 154 of the family's 154-position model. Lineage: Eukaryota; Viridiplantae; Streptophyta; Pinopsida; Cupressales; Cupressaceae. The record is from RNAcentral.